Neoarius graeffei (lesser salmon catfish) is the source of this 893-nucleotide RNA transcript. RefSeq lists it as uncharacterized. The transcript is spliced from 4 exons. NCBI's taxonomy places the organism in Eukaryota, Metazoa, Chordata, Actinopteri, Siluriformes, Ariidae. The record is from RefSeq and is a predicted model, not a curated record.
AAACAGUGUCGCCUGUUCUUCUCACUUGUGAAAGGCAGCAGUGCAGAGAUGCACGACAACUGGAUCGCUUGUAUUGUUCUGCUCCUGUCCUUUUCUCCAAUAUUAUCCUGCUUUCACUCCAAAGAUGGGGAAAAAAACAGCUUAUAUAUCAAAGAUAAGAUUCUGAUAAUACAGACAGUGUUGUCAAAUGUUGACAAUGCAUCCAUCAACUGCCCAGGUAUGGAAGUUAAUAAAGAGAAUGUUCAUAUCACGCUACACAAGGAGACAGAGCUGCAUUUUACAGAUUUCCAAAAUAAUCAAGUAACAAACACCUCACAGGAAACGCAAAGGUAUAGAGUCGAUGUUAAGAAUGACACUGUAGAUUAUGUGAUAGACAUGCCUCAAGUCAGUGACACAGGCUUGUACAACUGCACAAUUGCACACGGACAUGUCACCAGAACAACCCAGACUUUUCUUCUUGUGAAAGUUAUUGUUCUCUAGAUCCAGAAUCUCAGUGCAAUCUCCCUGAGGGACAGUCAACGUCUUGGCUACUGCUUGCUGCAGGUUGUGGGUUCCUGGCUUUGUAUAACUUGAUCACCACAAUUGUCAUCUGCUCCUUUGUUUGGAAGCUUCAGCAUCAGGACGCAUACCAGCAUGAUUACUUCAACACAAGGCCAGGAGAGUUCUCAAGAGGCAAAUAAGUUCAGCAUCAGCUCCUGUUGCCAUCUAUCCACUGGCCAUACAAGUUCACUUGUAACUAACAAAGUGACUAUGUCCGGUCACCUUAAUUAAAAUAUUGGCCUGAUCAUCUAAGUAUAAUGUUGAAUAUGCGUGUAAUGUGUAAUUUAUUAAAAUACUUUGUGAAUAUGAUCUUAUUAGGAGGACUGUUCAAUAAAACAAAGUGUGUGAAUUUG